UUGGCUACAGAAACUAACCUCCUUAACCUCUGUAAUUUUAAUUUUUACUUUUUUUUUGAGGACUAAUUUCUGGACAGCAUACUUGGGAAAAGCAGUUCCAAGAAUGAGAGGACUGAGACAAGAUCCACAGUGGAUGGGACUAGCUCUGGAACCAGAAGAAUCAAGCAAGUUGGUCUAAUUUUCUGGAUUUCAUUUUUUUACUUGCUACUUUGCAACUUAAAGGAAGUUAGUGUCUCCUCCAUCCUACCCCAGCAAGGGCCAAGCAGAGUGAUGUCCAAAUCAGCCUGACAACAAAGAAUGGGCCCGAGUCUCCUUUGCUGUGACCUAGUCCAGGAUCACCACAGGAUUCAGGAUCUCCAGGAGGAUGAGACACAGAACACAGCAUAGGAGGUCAUGGAAGAGUGCCCCAAGUGAAGGGGGGACACCAAAGAGGGAGCAUCUGAUUGCUUGGAGGAGUAGGGGGAGGAUUCCUGAAGGAAAUGACAUUUGAGUUGGACCUUGAAGACUGAGCCCCGCCUUCACCACUCAGAGGAGAGCAGGCAAGAGAGAGAGAAGAAAAUUUUUUCAAGAUGGGAUGGAUGUGCAGGAAGACAUCCAUUUGUGGUGUGUGAAAAGCAGAAGUAACAGGAAGGGGAAAGAUGAUGUGAACCAGUUGUCCAGAGUCACAGCAAUGCAGCCUGAAGACUUGGUGAGCUAUCCACCCAGAGUUUCCAUUAACCACCAAGAUUAUCACACAUGCAAAAGAUGGUGGAAUGAGAUAGACAUCACUACCCUAGAUGAAGAAAUUGAGGGCUCCAAAAGUCUUGAUUGGUAGAAGAGAGAGCUUGGGAUUUGGACACCGAUAAACAUGCCCCGUGCCAGUGAGCAGGCCAUGCUCCUCC
Molecule: non-coding RNA, 881 nt
Organism: Ictidomys tridecemlineatus (thirteen-lined ground squirrel)
Lineage: Eukaryota; Metazoa; Chordata; Mammalia; Rodentia; Sciuridae
Source: RefSeq, a predicted model, not a curated record